GAUGAAGAACGCAGCGAAAUGCGAUAAGUAAUGUGAAUUGCAGAAUUCAGUGAAUCAUCGAAUCUUUGAACGCACAUUGCGCCCGCCAGUAUUCUGGCGGGCAUGCCUGUCUGAGCGUCAUUUCAACCCUCAUGCCCCUAGGGCGUGGUGUUGGGGAUCGGCCAAAGCCCGCGAGGGACGGCCGGCCCCUAAAUCUAGUGGCGGACCCGUCGUGGCCUCCUCUGCGAAGUAGUGAUAUUCCGCAUCGGAGAGCGAUGAGCCCCUGCCGUUAAACCCCCAACUUUCCAAGGUUGACCUCAGAUCAGGUAGGAAUACCCGCUGAACUUAAGCAUAUCAAUAAGCGGAGGG
Molecule: unclassified non-coding RNA, 348 nt
Filed under: soil metagenome
Description: partial contains 5.8S ribosomal RNA, internal transcribed spacer 2, and large subunit ribosomal RNA
Rfam family: 5.8S ribosomal RNA (bases 1-120)
Source: RNAcentral